Molecule: transfer RNA, 90 nt
Filed under: Actinomycetes bacterium
Lineage: Bacteria; Bacillati; Actinomycetota; Actinomycetes
Description: tRNA-Ser
Rfam family: tRNA
About the family: Transfer RNA (tRNA) molecules are approximately 80 nucleotides in length. Their secondary structure includes four short double-helical elements and three loops (D, anti-codon, and T loops). Further hydrogen bonds mediate the characteristic L-shaped molecular structure. tRNAs have two regions of fundamental functional importance: the anti-codon, which is responsible for specific mRNA codon recognition, and the 3' end, to which the tRNAs corresponding amino acid is attached (by aminoacyl-tRNA synthetases). tRNAs cope with the degeneracy of the genetic code in two manners: having more than one tRNA (with a specific anti-codon) for a particular amino acid; and 'wobble' base-pairing, i.e. permitting non-standard base-pairing at the 3rd anti-codon position.
Source: RNAcentral
GGAGGGGUGUCCGAGCGGUCGAAGGAGACGGUCUUGAAAACCGUUGGGCCCUCACGGGUCUCGUGGGUUCGAAUCCCACCCCCUCCGCCA